RNAcentral lists this ribosomal RNA (608 nucleotides) under uncultured bacterium. RNAcentral describes it as "bacterial SSU rRNA". It matches the Rfam family "Bacterial small subunit ribosomal RNA", at positions 222 to 827 of the family's 1533-position model. The record is from RNAcentral.
CGGAUGGGCAUGCGGCGCAUUAGCUAGUCGGCGGGGUAACGGCCCACCGAGGCGACGAUGCGUAGGGGUUCUGAGAGGAAGGCCCCCCACACUGGUACUGAGACACGGACCAGACUCCUACGGGAGGCAGCAGUGAGGAAUAUUGGUCAAUGGGCGCGAGCCUGAACCAGCCAAGUCGCGUGAGGGAGGACGGCCCUACGGGUUGUAAACCUCUUUUGCCGGGGAGCAACGGGCGUCACGUGUGGCGCCACUGAGAGUACCCGGAGAAAAAGCAUCGGCUAACUCCGUGCCAGCAGCCGCGGUAAUACGGAGGAUGCGAGCGUUAUCCGGAUUUAUUGGGUUUAAAGGGUGCGUAGGCGGAUCGUUAAGUCAGUGGUCAAAUUGAGGGGCUCAACCCCUUCCCGCCAUUGAAACUGGCGAUCUUGAGUGGAAGAGAAGUAUGCGGAAUGCGUGGUGUAGCGGUGAAAUGCAUAGAUAUCACGCAGAACCCCGAUUGCGAAGGCAGCAUGCCGGCUUCCGACUGACGCUGAAGCACGAAAGCGUGGGGAUCGAACAGGAUUAGAUACCCUGGUAGUCCACGCGGUAAACGAUGAGCGCUAGGUGUCCGG